RNAcentral lists this ribosomal RNA (482 nucleotides) under uncultured bacterium. RNAcentral describes it as "partial 16S ribosomal RNA". It matches the Rfam family "Bacterial small subunit ribosomal RNA", at positions 30 to 507 of the family's 1533-position model. The record is from RNAcentral.
AUUGAACGCUGGCGGCAUGCCUUACACAUGCAAGUCGAACGGUAACAGGUCUUCGGAUGCUGACGAGUGGCGAACGGGUGAGUAAUACAUCGGAACGUGCCCGAUCGUGGGGGAUAACGAAGCGAAAGCUUUGCUAAUACCGCAUACGAUCUACGGAUGAAAGCAGGGGACCGCAAGGCCUUGCGCGAACGGAGCGGCCGAUGGCAGAUUAGGUAGUUGGUGGGAUAAAAGCUUACCAAGCCGACGAUCUGUAGCUGGUCUGAGAGGACGACCAGCCACACUGGGACUGAGACACGGCCCAGACUCCUACGGGAGGCAGCAGUGGUGAAUUUUGGACAAAGGGCGAAAGCCUGAUCCAGCCAUGCCGCGUGCAGGAUGAAGGCCUUCGGGUUGUAAACUGCUUUUGUACGGAACGAAAAGACUCUGGUUAAUACCUGGGGUCCAUGACGGUACCGUAAGAAUAAGCACCGGCUAACUACGUG